This 253-nucleotide ribosomal RNA is filed under the name uncultured bacterium. Its description in RNAcentral is "partial 16S ribosomal RNA". It matches the Rfam family "Bacterial small subunit ribosomal RNA", at positions 524 to 776 of the family's 1533-position model. The record is from RNAcentral.
UACAGAGGGGGCGAGCGUUAUUCGGAAUUAUUGGGCGUAAAGGGCGCGUAGGCGGCUUUGCAAGUGACGGGUGAAAUCCCUCGGCUUAACCGAGGAACUGCCUGUCAGACUGCAUGGCUUGAGACCAGGAGAGGUGAGUGGAAUUCCCAGUGUAGCGGUGAAAUGCGUAGAUAUUGGGAGGAACACCAGUGGCGAAGGCGGCUCACUGGACUGGUACUGACGCUGAGGCGCGAAAGCGUGGGGAGCAAACAGG